UACGGAGGGGACUAGCGUUGUUCGGAAUUACUGGGCGUAAAGCGCACGUAGGCGGAUUUGUAAGUCAGGGGUGAAAUCCCGGGGCUCAACCUCGGAACUGCCUUUGAUACUGCAAAUCUCGAGUCCGGAAGAGGUGAGUGGAAUUCCUAGUGUAGCGGUGAAAUGCGCAGAUAUCAGGAGGAACACCGAUGGCGAAGGCAGGUCUCUGGGCCGAUACUGACGCUGAGGAGCGAAAGCGUGGGGAGCGAACAGG
This 253-nucleotide ribosomal RNA is filed under the name uncultured bacterium. RNAcentral's name for it is "partial 16S ribosomal RNA". It matches the Rfam family "Bacterial small subunit ribosomal RNA", at positions 524 to 776 of the family's 1533-position model. The record is from RNAcentral.